UUAAGUUAGAAAGGGCGCACGGUGGAUGCCUUGACACUAGGAGUCGAUGAAGGACGGGACUAACGCCGAUAUGCUUCGGGGAGCUGUAAGUAAGCUUUGAUCCGAAGAUUUCCGAAUGGGGAAACCCACCAUACGUAAUGGUAUGGUAUCCUUAUCUGAAUACAUAGGGUAAGGAAGACAGACCCAGGGAACUGAAACAUCUAAGUACCUGGAGGAAGAGAAAGCAAAUGCGAUUUCCUGAGUAGCGGCGAGCGAAACGGAACAUAGCCCAAACCAAGAGGCUUGCCUCUUGGGGUUGUAGGACAUUCUAUACGGAGUUACAAAGGAACGAGGUAGACGAAGCGACCUGGAAAGGUCCGUCGUAGAGGGUAACAACCCCGUAGUCGAAACUUCGUUCUCUCUUGAAUGUAUCCUGAGUACGGCGGAACACGUGAAAUUCCGUCGGAAUCUGGGAGGACCAUCUCCCAAGGCUAAAUACUCCCUAGUGAUCGAUAGUGAACCAGUACCGUGAGGGAAAGGUGAAAAGCACCCCGGAAGGGGAGUGAAAGAGAUCCUGAAACCGUGUGCCUACAAAUAGUCAGAGCCCGUUAACGGGUGAUGGCGUGCCUUUUGUAGAAUGAACCGGCGAGUUACGAUCCCGUGCGAGGUUAAGCUGAAGAGGCGGAGCCGCAGCGAAAGCGAGUCUGAAUAGGGCGUUUAGUACGUGGUCGUAGACCCGAAACCAGGUGAUCUACCCAUGUCCAGGGUGAAGUUCAGGUAACACUGAAUGGAGGCCCGAACCCACGCACGUUGAAAAGUGCGGGGAUGAGGUGUGGGUAGCGGAGAAAUUCCAAUCGAACCUGGAGAUAGCUGGUUCUCCCCGAAAUAGCUUUAGGGCUAGCCUUAAGUGUAAGAGUCUUGGAGGUAGAGCACUGAUUGGACUAGGGGUCCUCAUCGGAUUACCGAAUUCAGUCAAACUCCGAAUGCCAAUGACUUAUCCUUAGGAGUCAGACUGCGAGUGAUAAGAUCCGUAGUCAAAAGGGAAACAGCCCAGACCGCCAGCUAAGGUCCCAAAGUGUGUAUUAAGUGGAAAAGGAUGUGGAGUUGCUUAGACAACUAGGAUGUUGGCUUAGAAGCAGCCACCAUUUAAAGAGUGCGUAAUAGCUCACUAGUCGAGUGACUCUGCGCCGAAAAUGUACCGGGGCUAAAUACACCACCGAAGCUGCGGAUUGAUACCAAUGGUAUCAGUGGUAGGGGAGCGUUCUAAGGACAGUGAAGUCAGACCGGAAGGACUGGUGGAGUGCUUGGAAGUGAGAAUGCCGGUAUGAGUAGCGAAAGACGGGUGAGAAUCCCGUCCACCGAAUGCCUAAGGUUUCCUGAGGAAGGCUCGUCCGCUCAGGGUUAGUCAGGACCUAAGCCGAGGCCGACAGGCGUAGGCGAUGGACAACAGGUUGAUAUUCCUGUACCACCUCUUUAUCGUUUGAGCAAUGGAGGGACGCAGAAGGAUAGAAGAAGCGUGCGAUUGGUUGUGCACGUCCAAGCAGUUAGGCUGAUAAGUAGGCAAAUCCGCUUAUCGUGAAGGCUGAGCUGUGAUGGGGAAGCUCCUUAUGGAGCGAAGUCUUUGAUUCCCCGCUGCCAAGAAAAGCUUCUAGCGAGAUAAAAGGUGCCUGUACCGCAAACCGACACAGGUAGGCGAGGAGAGAAUCCUAAGGUGUGCGAGAGAACUCUGGUUAAGGAACUCGGCAAAAUGACCCCGUAACUUCGGGAGAAGGGGUGCUUUCUUAACGGAAAGCCGCAGUGAAUAGGCCCAAGCGACUGUUUAGCAAAAACACAGCUCUCUGCGAAGCCGUAAGGCGAAGUAUAGGGGGUGACACCUGCCCGGUGCUGGAAGGUUAAGGAGAGGGGUUAGCGUAAGCGAAGCUCUGAACUGAAGCCCCAGUAAACGGCGGCCGUAACUAUAACGGUCCUAAGGUAGCGAAAUUCCUUGUCGGGUAAGUUCCGACCCGCACGAAAGGUGUAACGAUUUGGGCACUGUCUCAACCAGAGACUCGGUGAAAUUAUAGUACCUGUGAAGAUGCAGGUUACCCGCGACAGGACGGAAAGACCCCGUGGAGCUUUACUGUAGCCUGAUAUUGAAUUUUGGUACAGUUUGUACAGGAUAGGCGGGAGCCUUUGAAACCGGAGCGCUAGCUUCGGUGGAGGCGCUGGUGGGAUACCGCCCUGACUGUAUUGAAAUUCUAACCUACGGGUCUUAUCGACCCGGGAGACAGUGUCAGGUGGGCAGUUUGACUGGGGCGGUCGCCUCCUAAAGUGUAACGGAGGCGCCCAAAGGUUCCCUCAGAAUGGUUGGAAAUCAUUCGUAGAGUGCAAAGGCAUAAGGGAGCUUGACUGCGAGACCUACAAGUCGAGCAGGGACGAAAGUCGGGCUUAGUGAUCCGGUGGUUCCGCAUGGAAGGGCCAUCGCUCAACGGAUAAAAGCUACCCCGGGGAUAACAGGCUUAUCUCCCCCAAGAGUCCACAUCGACGGGGAGGUUUGGCACCUCGAUGUCGGCUCAUCGCAUCCUGGGGCUGUAGUCGGUCCCAAGGGUUGGGCUGUUCGCCCAUUAAAGCGGUACGCGAGCUGGGUUCAGAACGUCGUGAGACAGUUCGGUCCCUAUCCGUCGUGGGCGUAGGAAAUUUGAGAGGAGCUGUCCUUAGUACGAGAGGACCGGGAUGGACGCACCGCUGGUGUACCAGUUGUUCUGCCAAGGGCAUAGCUGGGUAGCUAUGUGCGGAAGGGAUAAGUGCUGAAAGCAUCUAAGCAUGAAGCCCCCCUCAAGAUGAGAUUUCCCAUAGCGUAAGCUAGUAAGAUCCCUGAAAGAUGAUCAGGUUGAUAGGUUCGAGGUGGAAGCAUGGUGACAUGUGGAGCUGACGAAUACUAAUAGAUCGAGGACUUAACCAU
Molecule: ribosomal RNA, 2920 nt
Filed under: Bacillus thuringiensis
Lineage: Bacteria; Bacillati; Bacillota; Bacilli; Caryophanales; Bacillaceae
Description: bacterial LSU rRNA
Rfam family: Bacterial large subunit ribosomal RNA
Source: RNAcentral